UACGUAGGUGGCGAGCGUUGUCCGGAUUUAUUGGGUUUAAAGGGUGCGUAGGCGGCUUUGUAAGUCAGUGGUGAAAUACUCCAGCUUAACUGGAGGGUGCCAUUGAUACUGCGGAGCUUGAGUACAGAUGAGGUAGGCGGAAUUGACGGUGUAGCGGUGAAAUGCAUAGAUAUUGCUCGGAAGGCCAACGGCGAAGGCAGGUUACUGGUGCGCAACUGACACUGAGGCACGAAAGCGUGGGGAGCGAACAGG
This 252-nucleotide ribosomal RNA is filed under the name uncultured bacterium. RNAcentral describes it as "partial 16S ribosomal RNA". It matches the Rfam family "Bacterial small subunit ribosomal RNA", at positions 524 to 776 of the family's 1533-position model. The record is from RNAcentral.